This 465-nucleotide ribosomal RNA is filed under the name Vreelandella stevensii. Its description in RNAcentral is "partial 16S ribosomal RNA". It matches the Rfam family "Bacterial small subunit ribosomal RNA", at positions 338 to 795 of the family's 1533-position model. Lineage: Bacteria; Pseudomonadati; Pseudomonadota; Gammaproteobacteria; Oceanospirillales; Halomonadaceae. The record is from RNAcentral.
CCUACGGGGGGCAGCAGUGGGGAAUAUUGGACAAUGGGGGGAACCCUGAUCCAGCCAUGCCGCGUGUGUGGAGAAGGCCCUCGGGUUGUAAAGCACUUUCAGUGAGGAAGAACGCCUGGUGGUUAAUACCCAUCAGGAAAGACAUCACUCACAGAAGAAGCACCGGCUAACUCCGUGCCAGCAGCCGCGGUAAUACGGAGGGUGCGAGCGUUAAUCGGAAUUACUGGGCGUAAAGCGCGCGUAGGUGGCUUGAUAAGCCGGUUGUGAAAGCCCCGGGCUCAACCUGGGAACGGCAUCCGGAACUGUCAAGCUAGAGUGCAGGAGAGGAAGGUAGAAUUCCCGGUGUAGCGGUGAAAUGCGUAGAGAUCGGGAGGAAUACCAGUGGCGAAGGCGGCCUUCUGGACUGACACUGACACUGAGGUGCGAAAGCGUGGGUAGCAAACAGGAUUAGAUACCCCUGUAGUC